RNAcentral lists this long non-coding RNA (406 nucleotides) under Helianthus annuus (common sunflower). Lineage: Eukaryota; Viridiplantae; Streptophyta; Magnoliopsida; Asterales; Asteraceae. The record is from RNAcentral.
AUUUCUCUUUACUGCAUGGAGGCCAAACAAAUUGCUCGCAAAAUCGCCACUCAGUCCGACUACAUUAGGCUCCGUCCAUCAAGCAGAGAUUCAAAUCCGAGUCCCACAGAUGUGCAGUGUUGUAUGAUGUAUGUUGUAAGUCCCAUAGGUACACAGCUUAUGUAAGCUACACAAAUGUUGGUUUAAGCAAAAUCACUUCUAUCAUCAGUUUAAGGACAACAACACAAGGUGGUAGAACCGAUGGAUAAUGCUACACGUAAGCCGAUUACAUGCUUUUUUUAGUUUGACCUGCUUGAACCGAUCUACCCGAAUCUUAAACUGGCCAGUUAGUUUAUUCAGGUCGCUGAUUUUUAAAGCCAACUUACUUAGUUCUCUUGAUCCAGUCUUGACAUGUGCAAACUUUCAG